Esox lucius (northern pike) is the source of this 3383-nucleotide long non-coding RNA. NCBI's taxonomy places the organism in Eukaryota, Metazoa, Chordata, Actinopteri, Esociformes, Esocidae. The record is from Ensembl.
CGGGGCAAAGACGGGCAAAGAACCCUGCAGCGGCCCCGGGGCAAAGACGGGCAAAGAACCCUGCAGCGGCCCCGGGGCAAAGACGGGCAAAGAACCCUAUAUUGAUCCCUGUCCAAAGAUUGACGACGAACCCUGCAGCGACCCCGGGGCAAAGUCCGGCAAAGAACCCUGCAGCGACCCCGGGGCAAAGGCGGGUAAAGAACCCUGCAGCGACCCCGGGGCAAAGGCGGGUAAAGAACCCUGCAGCGACCCCGGGGCAAAGGCGGGUAAAGAACCCUGCAGCGACCCCGGGGCAGAGUCCGGUAAAGAACCCUGCAGCGACCCCGGGGCAGAGUCCGGUAAAGAACCCUGCAGCGACCCCGGGGCAGAGUCCGGUAAAGAACCCUGCAGCGACCCCGGGGCAGAGUCCGGUAAAGAACCCUGCAGCGACCCCGGGGCAGAGUCCGGCAAAGAACCCUGCAGCGACCCCGGGGAAAAGACGGGUAAAGAACCCUGCAGCGACCCCGGGGCAAAGAAUGAGACUCCACAACCCAGCAAUCCUAUAUACACUCCACUGAUUGAUUUUCUGAGGAGCAAGAACCGACAGGCAGUCGAGUCACAUUUUUAAAGAGGAAUGGUUUGCAUCCGAGCAAGCGGUGCAAGGGUGUUUUCCGUCCGUGUCCUCAUCAUUGGCUUGACCGUAUUGACUUCACUCUGCUUGAUGCCACCUCUGUUCUCUUGUAGGUACUGAUGUUUUCCCCUUAAUAUUGCAGUAAUGUCUGCUAAUUAUCGUCCCACUAGUUUUCAGUCUGCUUUAGGGCAUUAUGGUAAAAAAACCGGAAAAUCUAUCUACCAAGUGUCCAGCAACUCUGUUGCAUCUCCUUCCAUUCCCAGGUCUUAAAGCACUCAUAGAGUGUCAUUGUGAUGGGCUGCCGCUCUUCUACCUGUGCCAGGUGUGUAAGUGUAAAGUCCUGCAGAACUCGAUUAUCUCCCAUGUCACUGGAGACAAUCACCGACAAUUAUCCCUGGUAGGUAACCAGCAACCACCACAUACCAAAUGUUUUCAAGUACAGAUCCACAUGUGAAGUGACUGGUAACUUAAUGGGGGCUGUCAGGAAUCGUGUGUGUGUGUGUGUGUGUGUGUGUGUGUGUGUGUGUGUGUGUGUGUGUGUGUGUGUGUGUGUGUGUGUGUGUGUGUGUGUGUGUGUGUGUGUGUGUGUGUGUGUGUGUGUGUGUGUGUGUGGUCUUACUGAACGAAUGGAGACCAAAUGUCCCAGUGAGUAUCGUACAACCAGAAAAUAUUUACCUCAUUGGGACCUUUUGCCGGUCCCCGUGAGGCAAAAGUCAAUUUCCGGUUUAGGGUCAAACUUUUUUUUUCUAAUUAUAAAAUCAACAAUUGAUUUUAUAAUUAGAAUUGGGGUUUCUUUAAGGUCCAGGCUUGUUGGUUAAGUUUAGGUUUAAGGUUAGGCAUUACAUCUAGGUAAAAUUUAGGCAUAAAUGUUACUUUAUUGAGGUUAAGGUUAGGGUUAGGUUUAGGGUUAAGUUUGGGGCAAGGGAGCAUGCAAUUUCUAUUUUCUGGUCCCCAUGAGGUUAGCUGUACAAACUUGUGUGCGUGUGUGUCUAAGUAACGUGUGUGUCUAUCUACAUAACGUGUGUCCAACAGUGGCCUAUGAAUACUAUUCCCAAACGCCACAGGAGGUUGAGGGCAGCUGCCUUAAAGCUGGAGAAGACCUUGGGAUAUGGAGAAUUUAAGGUAGCAGUGUUGAAUGCGCGAACAUAUCAUUCUAUUUCUACUAAUUCCAUUCCCUUCGACAUGAAGGUAAAGAUGGUCUUGUGUGAUCACUAUUCAAGUGACCCCCGAUAUUUCGUCAUGCCUCUAGCUAAGAAGCCUAAGCCCAAGCUGAAGAAAAACAGUAAUGUCAAAACUCUGGCCCUAGACUGCAAUGACGUGUGUUCUCCCGCAGCACCCGCUGGGAGAUUCCCUGCUCUGUGGCGCUACCUGCAGCAGUCCAACAGACAGCCUGUCAUUGGUGUUGGUAUGUUGACAGAGUUGACCGAACGAGAUGGUGACUACGUCCUGUGUGGAUGCUGUUCUCACAAGAUGUUUCCAUCCUCUGUCACCUCACACGUCAUCUCUUCCAGACACCGCUACUACUACAUAAGAAUGGCACAUCCUGAGCUGGCUGUUAAUUGGCCAGAAAGUCCAGCGCUGAUUGUGUAUAAUGGGCCUCUUCAAAGAGAGCUGAGAGUGCAAGCUAAAGAACUGGAGGGUCAGGAAGGACCUGAACAUCCCCAGGUGGUGAAAGAAACAUCUGCUACAUCGGGAGGUGGACCCACAACCUGCCCAGAAGAGGUUGUCGAACAGAUCCAGAUUCACUCCGCUCCUGUCUCUGUGGAAGAGGAACCGGUUAACUCAGAGCCAUCACAGCCCCUCGGAGAAAAGAAAAAGACGAGGAAUAGGGGCAAUCCUGUGGUUGGAGUGAACUUCCUGGUCCGGGUGUCUCACAGAAAUAGGAAACAAUACUACUGUCAGCUGUGCUCCGUUAGGGUGAAGCAUCCCGUUAUUGAUCACAUGACCAGCCUCCGCCAUCGACACAGCUAUGUGAAAUUGAAGUACCCCAGUUGGACCUCCGACUCAGAGGCAAAGCUGUUCAAGAUGGCUUUUCACCUGGAGAAGGUGGAUCGAAGCGCUGGACUGGGCAUGCAGAAAGUAGAAGUGGAUGCUGUUGAAUUCAAGGAUCUAAGGUCUUGCCCUGUGGAGGAAGCUCUCAGUAAACUGCAGGCCAUUAUCAUACAGCAACAAGAGCCAGGUGAUCUGAAGAUGCAUCCCUCAACCAAUCAGAACCCAGAAGAUCUGAGACAGACUGCUCCCUCAUUGAGACCUGUCAGUGCCCAAGGGCCAUCUAACGGAGACCAGGAACACCUACAAGUACCUGCCUCCUCUCUCCAGGAUCAGCCGUCCUUUGGCUCCACAUCUGUCCCCCUCUCAUCCUCCAGUCCUCCUUGCCUCUCUCCCUCAAACUCCUUCUCUGCCUCUCUCCCCGCAGUGUCCCUAUCUGCCUCAACCUCCCUUUCUUCCUUUGUUCCAUCCUACACUCCCGUUUUGUCCACUGAGAAGACGACUGACCCCUCAUCAGAUGUUGUCUCUGUCCCCGAUCCUGUCUGUGAUCCUGUCUCUGUCCCUUCACCCCUCUCCGCUCUAAAGAACCCAACACAUCUGAAGGACUGCGAGAGUCCAGAGUGGUGGGAGAGGAGGAGCCCAGAAAACAGAGAGACACUAAUGCUUCUGGAACUCCCAGACAAACAGACGGAGUACGCGGCGGGAGACCGGCUGACGGAGUACGCGGCGGGAGACCGGCUGACGGAGUACGCGGCGGGAGACCGGCUGACGGAGUACGCGGCGG